This 498-nucleotide ribosomal RNA is filed under the name uncultured bacterium. RNAcentral's name for it is "bacterial SSU rRNA". It matches the Rfam family "Bacterial small subunit ribosomal RNA", at positions 30 to 518 of the family's 1533-position model. The record is from RNAcentral.
UGAACGCUAGCGGCAGGCUUAACACAUGCAAGUCGAGGGGCAGCGGGAUGUAGCAAUACAUUGCCGGCGACCGGCGGAUGGGUGCGUAACGCGUAUGCAACCUACCUUAGUACAGGGGAAUAACCUUUCGAAAGGGAGACUAACACCCCAUAGUAUUGAUUUAAGGCAUCUUAGAUUAAUUAAAUAUUUAUAGGUAUAAGAUGGGCAUGCGUAUGAUUAGCUAGUUGGUAAGGUAACGGCUUACCAAGGCGACGAUCAUUAGGGGUUCUGAGAGGAAGGUCCCCCACACUGGUACUGAGACACGGACCAGACUCCUACGGGAGGCAGCAGUGAGGAAUAUUGGUCAAUGGGCGCAAGCCUGAACCAGCCAUGCCGCGUGCAGGGAAAGGCGGCCUUAUGGGUUGUAAACUGCUUUUACAUAAGACUAACCGUAUAUUUGCGAAUAUACCCGGAUGUAUUAUGAGAAUAAGGAUCGGCUAACUCCGUGCCAGCAGCAGC